This 22-nucleotide microRNA is filed under the name Gadus morhua (Atlantic cod). Its description in RNAcentral is "gmo-miR-139-3p". Its record names the gene gmo-miR-139-3p. The record is from miRBase by way of RNAcentral. Lineage: Eukaryota; Metazoa; Chordata; Actinopteri; Gadiformes; Gadidae.
UGGAGACCCGGCUCUGUUGGAA